AUCAUGGCUAACUGCUGAGCCACAAAAAAAAAAAUGUAAACAACAGGUCGCCAUGGUAACGUAUCGGCGCACGCCAAUGACGUACGUGGGAAUCCACCUCGCGCCCCGAUCACGUGCCCCCAGCGGCCUUCACCUCCCGGCCACCCAUCCGCCAUCUCUCUCACCGCAGAUUCGCCACUCUGUUCUGAAGCCGUAAAGAGGAGCGGAAUAAUUCCACGGACCCGCCCCCUGCCCUCAUAUCGAUACCGGACUGCUAAACGGGCAGCAGGUCGCGGGGAAACACCAGCUGGAUUUUUUUUAUUUUUUUUUCCCGCGUGCCGUUGGUUGCCGCCAUGGCGCUGCCAGGUAAGGCUGGCUGGGGGAGGGGGAGGUUUGUUUCCCCACCUGCACUUUCACUACACUGACUGACUGACUGCCAAGGGAAUGGGGCAGGUGGCCGGUCACGUGGUGACAGCGAGAGCGCGCGCGCUGCACAGGUUAGCGGGCGGGGCAGGGCGGCGUCCAAUCAGCGUGCGCUGUGCCUCAGUGACGUCAGUGUAGAGGACUAUAAAAAAGGCAGAUGGGUG
Molecule: non-coding RNA, 566 nt
Organism: Pelobates cultripes (western spadefoot toad)
Lineage: Eukaryota; Metazoa; Chordata; Amphibia; Anura; Pelobatidae
Source: the annotation of a GenBank genome assembly